AUACGGAGGGUGCAAGCGUUACUCGGAAUCACUGGUCGUAAAGCGCGCGCAGGCGGUCUUUUAAGUUGGAUGUGAAAGCCUACGGCUCAACCGUAGAACUGCAUCCAAAACUAUUAGACUAGAGUGUGGGAGAGGAAGAUGGAAUUAGUUGUGUAGGGGUAAAAUCCGUAGAGAUAACUAGGAAUAACAAAAGCGAAGGCAAUCUUCUGGAACACUACUGACGCUGAGGCGCGAAAGCGUGGGGAGCAAACAGGAUUAGAAACCCGGGUAGUCC
RNAcentral lists this ribosomal RNA (274 nucleotides) under uncultured bacterium. RNAcentral describes it as "partial 16S ribosomal RNA". It matches the Rfam family "Bacterial small subunit ribosomal RNA", at positions 523 to 796 of the family's 1533-position model. The record is from RNAcentral.